GGGCCUAUGGCGCAGCUGGGAGCGCGCUUGAAUGGCAUUCAAGAGGUCGGGGGUUCGAAUCCCCCUAGGUCCACCA
Molecule: transfer RNA, 76 nt
Filed under: Clostridia bacterium
Lineage: Bacteria; Bacillati; Bacillota; Clostridia
Also listed under: 1 other name
Description: tRNA-Ala
Rfam family: tRNA
About the family: Transfer RNA (tRNA) molecules are approximately 80 nucleotides in length.
Source: RNAcentral